UCUCUCUCUCUCUCUCUUUCUCUUCCCUACUUGGAGGACUGAAGAGAUUGCUAUGAAUGCCAAGGGAGACGUUUUUUAGCUAUGUAUAUUAGAAUAGAGACUUGUUGAUGAAGAGCAGUAACAUAAAUAAUUAUCAUGUCAUCCAUAUUACAUUGUUGGGUAUAAAUAAGUAGUGCAUUUAUCACUCAGGAUUUGUAUUAAAUCUUUAAAUGCUUAGUGUAUUUGAUAGAAGAAUAACAACAAUGAUCAUUACCCUCCUUGAGACUGCUGUCAAAUGUCUUGUUGCUACUUAUGAAACAGAAGAAAUCCAUAUUUUUAAUCACAAUUGGUUAUCACUUACCCUUUGUUUGGAUUAAGAAAAAUGAAAAGAAGAGAAAAGAAAAGAAAUUUGAUUUCUUUAAAUUUCCUUGUUUGGACAUCAAAUAGAAGAGAGAAUUGAAG
Molecule: unclassified non-coding RNA, 441 nt
Filed under: Hevea brasiliensis (rubber tree)
Lineage: Eukaryota; Viridiplantae; Streptophyta; Magnoliopsida; Malpighiales; Euphorbiaceae
Source: RNAcentral